UAUUUUUAAAAAAAUACAGAUUCCCUGACCCCACCCCAGACCUCUGAAUUUGAAUCUCCAGGACAGUUCUCAGGUGAAUCUUAGAACUGGCUUUGAAUACAUGAGGAAGAAGUGUGGGAGACAGGAGGAAAGGUAAGGUUGGAAGAGGACAAGAGGAAAGGAGGAGAGUGGCGGUGGGGUGGGGAGCGGGGGGUGAGCCUCCAGUGACCACCAACACAAUAAAUCAGAUCCUGGACUACCUCAGCCUGGCCCCUUUUUUCUACAGUGCACUCUUAUCAGUUUCCUCCCAGGAAGAGUCCAAUGAUGACAGCCAAGGCAUGGCUGUGGCCUUGGUGGACUUGAUUGAUGGGGUACUGGGAGGGUGUCAGAGGCCUGGGAGGCCCACUUCCUUCUGUUCACCCCACAGAGGCUUACACAGGCUACACAGGACAGGCGGGCACAGACUUUCCCUACCCAGCUGCCUUUGAAUCAGAUGGUAUCAUCAACCUCCCGUCAGCUGGCAGAAGGCUCCUGACUCUAAGGAGUGUGGGGCAGUAGGAAUGGAUGCCUCCCUGAACCUGUAUGACAGCAGGGUGGGGAGUGAGCAGUCCUGAGAGCAGCAGCUUUGCCCUGUGGGAGGCACCUGUGAAGCUGUGUGUGUUGAGGGAGGGGAUGUUGUACAGGAGGGUGGACAGGGACUCUCCCUGCCCUCUAUCAUCUUGCAGACCUGGGCAUGGGCCUGGAUGUAGGAGGCCAUCCAGUCUGACUUCAGGUUGCUGAUGAAGAGGGAUUGAGUAGUUUGAUCCACACUGCUCUAAAGUAGGUAGGCUUGAUGGGGCAAAGGAUUAAGGCUCUUUUUUGUCUUGGCUUUGACAGUCCUUUACCUGGCUAUGCUCACAGUACCUGCCCUGACCCUUGGCUAGGGUUGAAUGCUAGGCUGUGGCCUGAGGACUCUCCGUAUAGGGGAUAGAAACUUAAGAGCCCUAUCCAUUUCUAGCAUUGGCAAGCAGUGAUAUAGGGCCACUGUGACAGUUCCAGAUGACCCUCAACUGGGAUGAUUUUUCCACCCUACAUUUCUCGACUAGGCUGUCCUCUCCUGUGGAUUGAGCUGUGUGCACUCCUGCCAGCCCAGUCAGCCAUCUGCCCUUUCCCAGAACCUGGUCAGCCAGUGUUUACUUCCUCUUUCCCCACCACACAGGCUGUGCUUUGGAUGCAAGUGGACAGUCCUGCCCUACCAGUGGGGCCCCAGGGUUGGUUCUUGGACUGCAACCCUCCUGCAGGGGACCUUGAAGCAGGCCCAAGCUGUGGCCGGCUCUGGGUGCUGGCUUGGUCUCUACCACUUGUUUGCCUUCUCUACCCUCUGCCAUCCCAGCCAGCCUACCACCCCAAAAAGCUGAACUACACACCAUCCCUCCCAUGACACCCUUCACAGUUACAGAGGGAGCACAGAGCUGUGCCUAAGUGCUGAGGGCUGUCUGCCCGCCCGCAACCCCACCCGACUGGAAUGAGCCACCUGCAUCCACACACAGGUGUUUCCUGUGCUCCUUCCUGUUGCCGUUUCUUUCUUUUUUUUUUUUUCUGCUGCUCAGCGUGGCUUCCCCAGCAGGUGGUUAAGGGCCAGCCAAACCUCUUAUACACAUCUCCAAAACACUGGGGGGCGGGGCUCCCUGGGGAUCUGGGUCACCCCCCCACAAGGAGGAACUGUUGGCACCUCAUUAGCUCUGCCUGAGCGCAGGUGCACUUUCCCCCCCGUGUGUCACGGUGGACUCCAGGGUUGGGGAAGGCCCUGCCUGUGCACCGUCUCCCUUGCCUCUGGAUAACGAAAGCUCUGGAGUGAGAAGGGAAGGGUGGAGGGCCAGUUUCUCCAGCCUUGGGUGUGGGCCUCCCUCAGGCCCUCCUUAGAACAGGCCUGCCAUCCUGAAAUCCCACCCCACCCUCCAGUUCCUCCCAUAGAGCUCUUUGCCUUCUGGGGUUAACACACUUAACAUGUGGCACCUCUGGGGACGAGAUGAACCCUCCCUGGAGCCCUGCUUCCCAAAGCAAAACAGGUCAGCUGGCUGUGGAGGACCACGGGGUUCAGUCAGGGUUGUUUUUACAGAGAGGAGGUGGCUUGGGUAGAGGAGGGCCUUGUUAUUUAGGGUCACUGGGCAGCCAUCCUGGUCUCCUGCCGCGCAGGCCCUAGCUCUUCCCCUCUGCAAGGAUCUGCUCUCUCUUACUACCCAGCCCUCAAGGAGCUCCUAGUGCUGUGCCCUCUGUAGGAAGCUGCCAGGGCUGAGGGGAAAUCUAGAAGCCUGGCAUUCUCGGACAGGGUUCUGCUGCCCCCUGGUGGCCAGGAGCUCCAGCCACCACCAUGCCUUUUUUCUCUGCCUGCUUCUUCCCCUUUGCCUCCUGGCAGCAGGGUGCUAGCCGCUGGGGAGCCAUUCCCAGGACUGGCACUCUGGGCCUUCUCUGGGCCAACUCCGUGGUUUGGCUCCAGCCUGGGCCCCUAGCUUCCAGGCCCAGAGCACGCCCAGCCAGCAGGCUGAUCCUCAGCAACACGCCACCACCCUUUUUCUCUGCCCUCUUCUCCAAGCCCACUUCCAGCCCCUGGGCUCUCUUCCACCCAGAUUUCCAGGGCAAAAGCACAUGUCAUUGUCACAGUUGGAGUGUGGGCAUGUCAGAAAGGCCACAGCCAAAGGGUGCUGGAACCAGAAGAUCAGGAGUACACUAGGCCAGGCCAUGUAGGAAAGGCAUUUUGCUUUUUUAUUUUCUGUAAAACUCUGUAAAUAAAAUACAAAACCAAGGGAGGUGAUGGGGCAGAGGCAGGAUGGCCAGGCCCGGGGCACUGAUCUGUGGCAAGUGUGCUGAGCUGAGGCUGGGAGGCACUUGACUGCAGGCACUGACUCUACCAACCCCAAGGGCAAC
Myotis brandtii (Brandt's bat) is the source of this 2883-nucleotide long non-coding RNA. RefSeq lists it as uncharacterized. The record is from RefSeq and is a predicted model, not a curated record. Lineage: Eukaryota; Metazoa; Chordata; Mammalia; Chiroptera; Vespertilionidae. The transcript is spliced from 2 exons.